AGCUGCUUAGUUUCCUUAAAGGUAAUGGCAGAGAAGCAAUCCUGAGGUCAGUGAUGGAGUGUCCAGGGAGCUGAAGUGUUCUGCCCCAGGCUUUUAUCAGGCACAUCAGACUGCCAAGGCUGGAUGCCACCACUGGAUCUUUUUGGAUACAGCCCUGUGCCCUGUGUAACAUAAGUGCGCCUGAGAAGUUCAAGAACUAAGUUUGCUCCCUCUGGAUUUUGUUACUGCAAAGGGGAAUAGUGCAUGGGUGCCAAGAGCAAAACAAACGUGAGGCCCAAACACUUGCACACAUCCCUAUUGGUUCAAAAUAAUAGCAGCUGGCUAUGGUUAAAAGGAAAUUACAGCACCAGACAUAGGAGGGAUCAGAUUUACAUAACAAUGAAAACUGGAUCAAUUGUGCUUUCUGCUGAAUGAUGCUGCUGUGAGCUGGAGUUACCAUGACCCUACAGCAGUUCGACUAAGAACCAAAUAUAACCGGUGAGCUUCAACGAAGGGGUUUGUGUAAAAAAAGGGAAAAAAAACCUAGAGAAAGGAGACAAGAAAUAGGAAGAGACACGAAUGAUCCUAAGGCUUACUUUGUGGUUUACAAUUCCUGGCAAGUGCCUUGUGUUACCUUACCAAGAUGUCUCAGAGCUGUAACUGACUCCUUGUAAUUUGCUACAUACAGAACGUGUCCCCUAUCCUUACAGCUACAUAUCAUAUACUUGAAUUACUUCACAAGGUGAAAUCAGUUCAGAACUUUGAUAUAAGAAGUUGUUACUGUCACUUCUAUAUUGCUGCCAUGGAUUUUGCCCUAAGAUAGUGGUGACUGGGGGUCUAUUCUGUUCCACCUAUGGUACAUCUAAGUCUCAGUAUUAAACAUAUGUACUUGUUUAGCACAGUAUUAAUGCUCAGAUGAAGGUAAGUCACAUUUUACCAAAAGUGGUAAGGAGGAGAAGGAAGACCCAUCCACAUUUGCUUAAUUAUUUUUAGGGACUUGAACAAGGUGGAAUAGGAUCCCACUUAGAUGCCUUGCCUACAUACUGCUUAGGUGUUCAAUAGGUGGAACAGGGUCUGGCCCUUAGUGAAUAAAUGUGUUCCAGUUAUCUACUUGCUUCCA
This 1099-nucleotide long non-coding RNA is filed under the name Crocodylus porosus (Australian saltwater crocodile). RNAcentral describes it as "lncRNA (ENSCPRG00005009512.1)". The record is from RNAcentral. Lineage: Eukaryota; Metazoa; Chordata; Crocodylia; Crocodylidae.